GUUCAGAUCGUAGGCUGCAACUCGCCUACGUGAAGGAGGAAUCGCUAGUAAUCGCAGGUCAGCAUACUGCGGUGAAUACGUUCCCGGGCCUUGUACACACCGCCCGUCACACCAUGGAAGUUGGCCACGCCCGAAGCCGUUACUCCAACCCUCGGGAGGAGGACGUCGAAGGUGGGGCUGAUGACUGGGGUGAAGUCGUAACAAGGUAGCCGUACCGGAAGGUGCGGCUGGAUCACCUCCUAA
This 243-nucleotide ribosomal RNA is filed under the name Synechococcus sp. KORDI-100. RNAcentral describes it as "partial 16S ribosomal RNA". It matches the Rfam family "Bacterial small subunit ribosomal RNA", at positions 1291 to 1533 of the family's 1533-position model. Lineage: Bacteria; Bacillati; Cyanobacteriota; Cyanophyceae; Synechococcales; Synechococcaceae. The record is from RNAcentral.